This 120-nucleotide ribosomal RNA is filed under the name uncultured bacterium. Its description in RNAcentral is "partial 16S ribosomal RNA". It matches the Rfam family "Bacterial small subunit ribosomal RNA", at positions 29 to 160 of the family's 1533-position model. The record is from RNAcentral.
AAUGAACGUUGGCGGCGUGGAUUAGGCAUGCAAGUCGGACGGGCCGCAAGGCCAGUGGCGUAAGGGUGAGUAAGGCGACGGCAAUCAACCCCACGGUUGGGGAUAGCCGCGAGAAAUCGC